ACGGGUGAGUAACGCGUGGGUAACCUGCCUUAUACAGGGGGAUAACAGUUGGAAACGACUGCUAAUACCGCAUAAGCGCACAGUGCUGCAUGGCACGGUGUGAAAAGAUUUAUCGGUAUAAGAUGGACCCGCGUCUGAUUAGCUAGUUGGUGAGGUAAUGGCUCACCAAGGCGACGAUCAGUAGCCGGCUUGAGAGAGUGAACGGCCACAUUGGGACUGAGACACGGCCCAAACUCCUACGGGAGGCAGCAGUGGGGAAUAUUGCACAAUGGGGGAAACCCUGAUGCAGCGACGCCGCGUGAGUGAAGAAGUAUUUCGGUAUGUAAAGCUCUAUCAGCAGGGACGAAGAAAUGACGGUACCUGACUAAGAAGCCCCGGCUAACUACGUGCCAGCAGCCGCGGUAAUACGUAGGGGGCAAGCGUUAUCCGGAUUUACUGGGUGUAAAGGGAGCGUAGACGGUGAUGUAAGUCAGAUGUGAAAGCCCAGGGCUCAACCCUGGGACUGCAUUUGAAACUAUGUGACUAGAGUGCAGGAGAGGUAAGUGGAAUUCCUAGC
Molecule: ribosomal RNA, 556 nt
Filed under: uncultured bacterium
Lineage: Bacteria
Description: bacterial SSU rRNA
Rfam family: Bacterial small subunit ribosomal RNA
Source: RNAcentral